UAAUAGACGGAAGUGGUGCUCUUUUUGGCA
Molecule: non-coding RNA, 30 nt
Filed under: Mus musculus (house mouse)
Lineage: Eukaryota; Metazoa; Chordata; Mammalia; Rodentia; Muridae
Source: RNAcentral